This 253-nucleotide ribosomal RNA is filed under the name uncultured bacterium. Its description in RNAcentral is "partial 16S ribosomal RNA". It matches the Rfam family "Bacterial small subunit ribosomal RNA", at positions 524 to 776 of the family's 1533-position model. The record is from RNAcentral.
CACGUAGGGCGCAAGCGUUGUCCGGAAUUAUUGGGCGUAAAGAGCUCGUAGGCGGUCUGUUGCGUCUGCUGUGAAAUCCCGGGGCUCAACCCCGGGCGUGCAGUGGAUACGGGCUGGCUAGAGGCAGGCAGGGGAGAACGGAAUUCCCGGUGUAGCGGUGAAAUGCGCAGAUAUCGGGAGGAACACCGGUGGCGAAGGCGGUUCUCUGGGCCUGUACUGACGCUGAGGAGCGAAAGCGUGGGGAGCGAACAGG